Molecule: long non-coding RNA, 504 nt
Organism: Oreochromis niloticus (Nile tilapia)
Lineage: Eukaryota; Metazoa; Chordata; Actinopteri; Cichliformes; Cichlidae
Exons: 4
Source: RefSeq, a predicted model, not a curated record
AGAGUGUGGUGGUGAGAAAGUAGGCCAGUGAAAAAUAUGCAGCCCUUUGAUGUAAAUCAGAGCGUUCUCUCUAAAUAUCAGCACUUUCAGACGCAUCAGCAACCAAGAAGAAGAAGACCAAGCAGUGGUGCAGUCCUUCCUGACCUUCACGUUUAACAAUAUUUAACUACAAUGCUGCAGAUGCAACAGGAUGAUAAAUAAAGCAGAUGUGUUCAAAGGUGUUCCAAAAGUGAACAUAUCAAUGUCUGAAUCCUGGUAGACCUGAGAUAAAGGGUUCCCAGGAGGAAGCCUCUUCUCUCUAAAAACAACAUGGCAGCAAAGCUACAUCUGAACCAACCACAAGACUUGUGGUAGAAUGUCUGUUGGACAGCGGCGAGUGUCAUGACCUUGAGUUUCUCCCGGAUCACUUUCACCACUCGGCUCUUCUGUAACGGCGUGACUCUGCAGCAGAGCACGGAGCGGCAGUGCUUCACCAGGGCCACAAAGCGAUCCAGCAGGUCUGGC